UGACGUCAUACUUAACUUCCAAAAAAAUUAAGAAACACCAAAUAAAAUGAGCAAUAGAUUAAUCAUUUAAUAAACGAUUGUAAUAAAAAAAAUAGAAACAGAACAAGUGAUAUCUCAAACAAAGCCAACACAAAAAAAAUCAGUCACCAUGGUAUCAAAACACCAUAAAUCUGUAGCAACAAUUGGAUUUUAUAUCAACCUUCUUCCCAUUUUUG
This is a long non-coding RNA of Arabidopsis thaliana (thale cress), 215 nucleotides long. RefSeq annotates it as other RNA. The record is from RefSeq. The transcript has a single exon. NCBI's taxonomy places the organism in Eukaryota, Viridiplantae, Streptophyta, Magnoliopsida, Brassicales, Brassicaceae.